AACCCUGUCCUGUGUGUUCAGUGUCUGUGGUGUUUGUGCUGGUCUGGGGUUUCCAGCUGAUGGUUCUGUUGGGUCUGUUAGGAGGUUUUCACAUCUACAUGAGACACACGUCAGGAAAGAAAGAGGAC
Molecule: long non-coding RNA, 128 nt
Organism: Sinocyclocheilus anshuiensis
Lineage: Eukaryota; Metazoa; Chordata; Actinopteri; Cypriniformes; Cyprinidae
Exons: 3
Source: RefSeq, a predicted model, not a curated record